AGGUGCUAAAUACUGAGGUGGUUAGGGAUUAAAAGCAAAGUUUAAAUUUAACAUUGCCAGUGUUCUAAUGACUCCUAAAGCUACAUUCUUCUGCUUAUCUAUACUCACAAUUUCAGAUCU
Sapajus apella (tufted capuchin) is the source of this 120-nucleotide long non-coding RNA. RefSeq lists it as uncharacterized. The record is from RefSeq and is a predicted model, not a curated record. The transcript has 3 exons. Lineage: Eukaryota; Metazoa; Chordata; Mammalia; Primates; Cebidae.